CCUACGGGAGGCAGCAGUGAGGAAUAUUGGUCAAUGGACGAGAGUCUGAACCAGCCAAGUAGCGUGAGGGAUGACUGUCCUAUGGGUUGUAAACUUCUUUUAUCAAGGAGUAAAACGCGGCACGUGUGCCUUUUUGCAUGUACUUUAUGAAUAAGGAUCGGCUAACUCCGUGCCAGCAGCCGCGGUAAUACGGAGGAUCCGAGCGUUAUCCGGAUUUAUUGGGUUUAAAGGGAGCGUAGAUGGGUUGUUAAGUCAGUUGUGAAAGUUUGCGGCUCAACCGUAAAAUUGCAAUUGAUACUGGUAGUCUUGAGUAAAGUAGAGGUAGGCGGAAUUCGUGGUGUAGCGGUGAAAUGCUUAGAUAUCACGAAGAACCCCGAUUGCGAAGGCAGCUUACUAAACUGUGACUGACACUGAUGCUCGAAAGUGUGGGUAUCAAACAGGAUUAGAUACCCGAGUAGUC
This 460-nucleotide ribosomal RNA is filed under the name uncultured bacterium. RNAcentral's name for it is "partial 16S ribosomal RNA". It matches the Rfam family "Bacterial small subunit ribosomal RNA", at positions 338 to 795 of the family's 1533-position model. The record is from RNAcentral.